UUGAACGCUGGCGGCAGGCCUAACACAUGCAAGUCGAGCGAGAAAGCCCUUCGGGGUGAGUACAGCGGCGGACGGGUGAGUAACGCGUAGGAAUCUACCCAGUAGUGGGGGACAACUUGGGGAAACCCAAGCUAAUACCGCAUACGCCCUAUGGGGGAAAGCGGGGGACCUUCGGGCCUCGUGCUAUUGGAUGAGCCUGCGUCGGAUUAGCUAGUUGGUGGGGUAAAAGCCUACCAAGGCGACGAUCCGUAGCUGGUCUGAGAGGAUGAUCAGCCACACUGGAACUGAGACACGGUCCAGACUCCUACGGGAGGCAGCAGUGGGGAAUAUUGCGCAAUGGGGGCAACCCUGACGCAGCCAUGCCGCGUGUGUGAAGAAGGCCCUAGGGUUGUAAACCUCUUU
RNAcentral lists this ribosomal RNA (402 nucleotides) under uncultured bacterium. RNAcentral's name for it is "bacterial SSU rRNA". It matches the Rfam family "Bacterial small subunit ribosomal RNA", at positions 30 to 436 of the family's 1533-position model. The record is from RNAcentral.